Molecule: long non-coding RNA, 702 nt
Filed under: Pan troglodytes (chimpanzee)
Lineage: Eukaryota; Metazoa; Chordata; Mammalia; Primates; Hominidae
Description: long non-coding RNA NONPTRT008471
Source: RNAcentral
GUGUGCAGGCCAGGGUCCAGCCUUGCCUGAGGGUUGCACAGUGUUUUAAAUGACUUCUGCACUGGCGGGCCUCUCCUCCCGAAACCAGUCUCUCCCUCUUAACUCCAUACAGUAAGCAAGGCCCGGUAAGAAGUUGGGUUUCCCUGCCAUCCUUCCUGCCCCAGCCCCUCAUCCUCAACUCACCAUCAACCCUUCCACGAUCCCAAAUUGCUCGUGGAUGACUUUGGCGAGGGGAGCCAAACAGUUGGUGGUGCAGGACGCGUUGCUGAAACAGCCAAGGUGUGCACGGACACUGUGAGGUGGUGACCUCCCCAACUCAGCCCUCAACCUCCUCAGAGGCGCCAACGCUGACUGCUGUCAGCCAGCCCAGACCCUUUCUCCAUAUGCUGCCCGGGACGUGGACUCUGACUGUGAGGCCUGCCCGGCUGCUUUCUGCUUCCCAGCCCUGACAACCUCGCCACGAACCCUCCUAGACCCUCAGCUCCUACAAUAGGAAGCUGGCUGCCAAAGGCCAGGAGAGUCCCUGAAGACAGACACUGCAUUAAAGAAAAAGCUCCUGGAGGACUCCUGAAGCCUGAGGCAGCCUUGGGGCGGCAGUGGCUCAUGGUUUACAUUAGAAAGGUAAGGGAGGUUUCUGGUUUCCUGUUUUAUAAAUUUAUGUUUUUACUUGGUAUUUUGACAAACAUUUGUAUUUGAAGCACA